RNAcentral lists this unclassified non-coding RNA (381 nucleotides) under Hevea brasiliensis (rubber tree). The record is from RNAcentral. Lineage: Eukaryota; Viridiplantae; Streptophyta; Magnoliopsida; Malpighiales; Euphorbiaceae.
GUCGCGUCCGAAUUGUAAUUAACACCAGCAGCGGCGCAAGAGAUCAAAGCGGCAGAAGCGAAAGGAAGGUGUGAUUCCCCAUUAAGAGGUUUCGAAAUACAGAGUGUUGGGUGGAGUAUGAGAGAAGAGUGGUCGGGCGAGCACUAAUUGAACACCGACCUAAUUUGACUUGGCAGGGCACGGGCAUCAGCCUUAUUUCCCGGGCAUUCAUCUAUUUGGUUAGAAAAGCUUUUGAAUGUCUCUUCCAAGGCUUUCCAACACUAGAUAAGAGAGACCUUCACCUUGGACUGGAGUGAUUUUCCCUAACCUAAAUCGAAUUCAUUAAUUUGAAUUAGCCUUAUUUUAUCUUUAAGCUUAGUGAGGGAGCUACUGGCCGUAGCG